RNAcentral lists this ribosomal RNA (492 nucleotides) under uncultured bacterium. Its description in RNAcentral is "partial 16S ribosomal RNA". It matches the Rfam family "Bacterial small subunit ribosomal RNA", at positions 29 to 507 of the family's 1533-position model. The record is from RNAcentral.
AGUGAACGCUGGCGGUAGGCCUAACACAUGCAAGUCGAACGGCAGCACAGUAAGAGCUUGCUCUUACGUGUGUCGAGUGUCGGACGGUUGAGGAAGACAUCGGAAUCUACUUUUUCGUGGGGGCUAACGUAGGGAAACUUACGCUGAUACCACAUACGACCUACGUGUGAAAGCAGGGGAUCUUCGGACCUUGCGCGAUGGAAUAAGCCUAGGUCGGAUUAGCUAGUUAGCGGGGUAAAGGCCCACCAAGGCUACGAUCCGUAUCUGAUCUGAGAGGAUGAUCAGCCACAUGGUAACUGAGGAAGGGCCCCGACACCGACGGGGGGAAGCGGUGGGGAAUAUUGGAGAAUGGGGGAAAGCCUGAUCCAGCAAUAUCGCGUAGGUCAAGAAGGCCUUCUGGUUCUAGAGCCCUUUUGUUGGGAAAGAAAAGAAGCAGGUUAAUACCCCGCUGUUCUGACGGUACCCAAAGAAUAAGCACCGGCUAACUUCGUG